GCACACUCAAAUGUAUUACAUACACACACAAACACACACUCACCCACAAAAAGAAAAACACGACACACACCACACACAAAAAACUAAUAACCACACACACAUAUCGCUCACAUAAACACACUCAUACAUACCUAAACACACAUAUUACACACACACAAACACAUACACAAGCACACAUAACUUUAUAAACACAGACAAAUACACACACACAAACAGAUAUUACCCACACAAAC
This 233-nucleotide long non-coding RNA is filed under the name Vigna radiata. RNAcentral describes it as "long non-coding RNA (VRAD_LNC017813)". Lineage: Eukaryota; Viridiplantae; Streptophyta; Magnoliopsida; Fabales; Fabaceae. The record is from RNAcentral.